GAGGGCGGGUAGCAAUACCCGACCGGCGAACGGGUGCGUAACACGUGAGCGACCGACCCUUAGGUGUGGGGGAUAGCCGGCCCAACGGCCGGGUAAUACCGCAUACGCUUCUUGGACCGCAUGGUCUGGGAAGGAAACCCUUCGGGGGCACUAGGACGGGCUCGCGGCCUAUCAGCUAGUUGGCGGGGUAAUGGCCCACCAAGGCGACGACGGGUAGCUGGUCUGAGAGGAUGGCCAGCCACAUUGGGACUGAGAAACGGCCCAGACUCCUACGGGAGGCAGCAGUGGGGAAUAUUGCGCAAUGGCCGAGAGGCUGACGCAGCGACGCCGCGUGUGGGAUGAAGCCCUUCGGGGUGUAAACCACUGUUGCCCGGGACGAACGGGAGGAUCAUCCUCCGUGACGGUACCGGGUGAGGAAGCACGGCUAACUCGUG
Molecule: ribosomal RNA, 434 nt
Filed under: uncultured bacterium
Lineage: Bacteria
Description: bacterial SSU rRNA
Rfam family: Bacterial small subunit ribosomal RNA
Source: RNAcentral